CCGCUGACAGACUGUAGUCGGCCUCACGCUACAGAUACUGGGGCCACUGACAGACUGUAGUCGGCCUCACGCUACAGAUACUGGGGCCACUGACAGACUGUAGUAGGCCUCACGCUACAGAUACUGGGGCCGCUGACAGACUGUAGUAGGCCUCACGCUACAGAUACUGGGGCCGCUGACAGACUGUAGUAGGCCGCACGCUA
Molecule: long non-coding RNA, 203 nt
Organism: Haliotis rubra (blacklip abalone)
Lineage: Eukaryota; Metazoa; Mollusca; Gastropoda; Lepetellida; Haliotidae
Exons: 3
Source: RefSeq, a predicted model, not a curated record